AGUGAACGCUGGCGGUAGGCCUAACACAUGCAAGUCGAACGGCAGCACAGGAGAGCUUGCUCUCUGGGUGGCGAGUGGCGGACGGGUGAGGAAUACAUCGGAAUCUACUUUUUCGUGGGGGAUAACGUAGGGAAACUUACGCUAAUACCGCAUACGACCUACGGGUGAAAGCAGGGGAUCUUCGGACCUUGCGCGAUUGAAUGAGCCGAUGUCGGAUUAGCUAGUUGGCGGGGUAACGGCCCACCAAGGCGACGAUCCGUAGCUGGUCUGAGAGGAUGAUCGGCCACACUGGCACUGAGACACGGUCCAGACUCCUACGGGAGGCAUCAGUGGGGAUUAUUGGACAAUGGGCGCAAGCCUGAUCCAGCCAUACAGCGUGGGUGAAGAAGGCCUUCGGGUUGUAAAGCCCUUUUGUUGGGAAAGAAAUCCAGCUGGCUAAUACCCGGUUGGGAUGACGGUACCCAAAGAAUAAGCACCGGCUAACUUCGUGCCAGCCGCCGCAGUAAGAC
RNAcentral lists this ribosomal RNA (509 nucleotides) under uncultured bacterium. RNAcentral's name for it is "bacterial SSU rRNA". It matches the Rfam family "Bacterial small subunit ribosomal RNA", at positions 29 to 526 of the family's 1533-position model. The record is from RNAcentral.